UUAUGGAGGAUCUCUUAGUAAGACUUGACUACAUUUGAAACUUCUAAGCGUAUAAUUAAACAGAUUGACAAUUUAGUCUUUCUAAUACUUUAAAAACUGCGUAUAAACUUAUCAUGUGUAUGGACUAUUCAGUAUUUAAAACAAAUAAUUAUUUUCAGGAAGUGGUCGAUUUUUGGGCCGUUAUAAAUAAUGGUGAUAGAUAAUGGCGCGAGAGGCACUAAAUCGAGUAGAAGAACUAGAAACGGAAAACAGUCACCUCACGAAACGGCUCGACAAACUCAAAAAUGCUAAAUCUGCGCUAUUAAAGGACCUGUGACAAAACUGACCGGAAUAUAUCAUAAAAUCUAUAGUACACGGCAAUACGAUUGAAGCAGACUUAUUAUUUUUUAAAUUUGGUUACUGCUAACUGUUUAGCAGUUACAUUGUAACGUUUAGGCUGAAUGAUAAAAUUCCUUGUCCUUGAUAUAAUAUUUUUAAAUAAUUUGCAAUUUUUUUAUUAUCUUAUUUUUAGCGCCAAAACGGACCGGUUCAAAUUUUAAAAAUAAAAUGUCUAUAUUUCCGAUACUAGAGAUAUGAUUUUACAAAUUUAAAUUGUUGUGGUUUUGGAAAGUUUUUGAUGAAACGAUUUUUAGUUUUAUUGCUUACAUAUUAUGAACACAAAUACUUUGAAUGCCGUCUCAAUAACCAUUUGGUAAAUUGAUAAAUGAAAUGAUUUUUUUUUAAUAUUUUUACAUUUCAAUGAUUUUAAAAUAUGACAUUCAAUUAAACUUUUUAUAAUGACGAUGGUUAGAACGUAAUAACGGAUUUAUUUAUAACAAUAACUUGUUUCUUUGUAAAUGUUCUAUUAUUAUUAAAUUGUAAAAAAAUGUGCAUUAUGUUUAAAAAUAUAAUUAUUUAUUUGUUAAACAUAUUAAUAUUAUCAUAUAAUUUGUAUAGGUUCUAUUUAAUUAAGUUUAUGUAAUUCUAGCUUGCCCAGGUUUCGCUUUGUACUAAUCGAAAGGUUUAACAUGAUCACACUAUUAUAUAUAACUUGCCAUUUCCCUACUGUUGUAUUAUAGACAUUACCCGAUUCCGUAACGAUAGUUGUGUUAGACCAAGGUGAAUGUAGUUAAAUGUUUUAUACUGUAGUUAGACGACUUGAAAAAAAGUUCCUCGCCCUAGCCUUAAAUGUUGAAUGUUUUGAGGAAUUUUUGAUCAAGAAUAUAAAAUCAUUAGCGUAGCCAGAAUAACAAUCUUUAUUUAUUAAAACCGUAAAACUUUACUUUUCCAUAUUUUAAAAUAGAUUCAGUAAUUACGUUAUUUUUAUUUUGAUAUAACUUAAUUCUUGUGCUUGAUACGAUGUCACUGGCUACGCGAAUGUAUGUGAUGAAAUAGUUAUUGCUCAAAAUUGUACUCCAAGCAUUGUGAUAGGUUGCGAGUGUACACGUCCAUUAGCGAUCUCCUUGAAACAGUAUUUCUAGAGGGAUACUUGUAUUUUAUAUCGUUAUAACGUGUAUUUAGUUUUUUCUAUCGGAAGUUACCACAGAUUCUACUGAUUGAAUAAUUUUCGUACGGUCUAUUCUUUAUCUUUAAACAAAAAUACUAUUGCAGUUUUAUUUUAAUAUAUGAAACUUGUAAACUAUCGAUUAAGUCAUUCUUAAAGGCGAUUUUCGUUUAACUACCUAUCCUGGCUCGCGUUGUAGCAAUUGAACUUUAUAAGUCAUAAAAACUAAUUAAAAUAACAGCAAACAAAUUCGCAGCCAUCGAUUCGUAGUCAUGUGAAACGCCAUAAAUAGGAAUAGUCACUCACAGUGCCAUGGCGCACCAAAAUGUAUUAUAGUUGUAGAUUGAUGGUGUAGUUAGUAUCGUAUAGAGAAUGAUUUGCGGGUAUAUCGCCUACUGUUAGUUAUGUUACUGUUCGAAAACCUACGCACGCAGACGUGCACCUGCCGGUUCAGUUGUAAUGUCUGUUUUAACGUUAAAUUCUACUAGUCAGUGAUUACUUGGAAAUCAAGCAUAUAGCCGAUGAAAUAUUAUAUAGAAAUAGAAAAUAGUACCGGCGAAAAUUUAUCAUAAAGGAGUGUUGUUAGCAUUUAUGUCGUCCGAUUUCAGUAGACUAGUUGAAUUUAACUCUUGUUUCUUAUUGACUUUCAGAUUUAUAUAUUUGUAAUACAACCCAGAUAAUGUUUUAUUUGAUAAUAUAUAUAAAAUAACAUCCAACUAAACCGAACAUACCUAAAUAUUAAAUAAUUUAUGUAAUAAACAGGUCUGUUAGAUCUUGUGAACGCAACGAAUUAUUUGUAACGAUAUAUAUACAAACGUUAUUCAGUCACAAGAUGUAAUACGUCUCUGUAUGUUGUUGUGUGAGAAGUCGGAUGCGAGUAAUAUAAGUAAGAAUUAUAAUUUUGUAAGUAUGAUGUAUGUAUUUUGGUGCUGCAUUACUAAUUUAUUUCUUUUUAAAUGAGAAUGACUGUCUUUUUUAUAAGAAGCGAAACUGACUUAAAAUGAUGUAUAAAUUUGGAUACUUUGAAUAAAUUUCGCCCUCAAAAAUAUUGUUUUAUUAACUUAAAUGCAAUUUGUUAUAAGAAGAGUAUACUAAUUCUAUGAUUUGAAGAAAGAGAAUAAAAAAAAGUUCAAAAUGUUUUAGUUUCGUGAUGGUACCAUAGCGGCAAAUUUUAUAAAUGAAACUAACUGACCCCGCAAAUCUUGUUUUGCCAUAUAUGUUAUUAACCCCCUUAAUACCCCUCCCCUUAUAAC
RNAcentral lists this unclassified non-coding RNA (2736 nucleotides) under Melitaea cinxia (Glanville fritillary). RNAcentral's name for it is "misc RNA ENSMCXG00005011422.1". Lineage: Eukaryota; Metazoa; Arthropoda; Insecta; Lepidoptera; Nymphalidae. The record is from RNAcentral.